RNAcentral lists this ribosomal RNA (979 nucleotides) under Flavobacterium sp. Its description in RNAcentral is "bacterial SSU rRNA". It matches the Rfam family "Bacterial small subunit ribosomal RNA", at positions 66 to 1049 of the family's 1533-position model. The record is from RNAcentral. Lineage: Bacteria; Pseudomonadati; Bacteroidota; Flavobacteriia; Flavobacteriales; Flavobacteriaceae.
GGGGUAUUGUGUUUUCGGACCUAGAGACCGGCGCACGGGUGCGUAACGCGUAUGCAAUCUACCUUUUGCAGAGGGAUAGCCCAGAGAAAUUUGGAUUAAUACCUCAUAGUAUAGCGACUUGGCAUCAUGGUGCUAUUAAAGUCACAACGGCAAAAGAUGAGCAUGCGUCCCAUUAGCUAGUUGGUAAGGUAACGGCUUACCAAGGCAACGAUGGGUAGGGGUCCUGAGAGGGAGAUCCCCCACACUGGUACUGAGACACGGACCAGACUCCUACGGGAGGCAGCAGUGAGGAAUAUUGGACAAUGGGCGCAAGCCUGAUCCAGCCAUGCCGCGUGCAGGAUGACGGUCCUAUGGAUUGUAAACUGCUUUUAUACGAGAAGAAACACUCCAACGUGUUGGAGCUUGACGGUAUCGUAAGAAUAAGGAUCGGCUAACUCCGUGCCAGCAGCCGCGGUAAUACGGAGGAUCCAAGCGUUAUCCGGAAUCAUUGGGUUUAAAGGGUCCGUAGGCGGUUUGGUAAGUCAGUGGUGAAAGCCCAUCGCUCAACGGUGGAACGGCCAUUGAUACUGCCAGACUUGAAUUACUGGGAAGUAACUAGAAUAUGUAGUGUAGCGGUGAAAUGCUUAGAGAUUACAUGGAAUACCAAUUGCGAAGGCAGGUUACUACCAGUGGAUUGACGCUGAUGGACGAAAGCGUGGGUAGCGAACAGGAUUAGAUACCCUGGUAGUCCACGCCGUAAACGAUGGAUACUAGCUGUUGGGAGUAAUCUCAGUGGCUAAGCGAAAGUGAUAAGUAUCCCACCUGGGGAGUACGAACGCAAGUUUGAAACUCAAAGGAAUUGACGGGGGCCCGCACAAGCGGUGGAGCAUGUGGUUUAAUUCGAUGAUACGCGAGGAAACCUUACCAAGGCUUAAAUGUAGAUUGACCGGGUUUGGGAAACAGACUUUUCGCAAGACAAUUUUACAAGGUGCUGCAUGGG